RNAcentral lists this long non-coding RNA (1139 nucleotides) under Podarcis muralis (Common wall lizard). RNAcentral describes it as "lncRNA (ENSPMRG00000015947.1)". The record is from RNAcentral. Lineage: Eukaryota; Metazoa; Chordata; Lepidosauria; Squamata; Lacertidae.
AUGCCGAAAGUCAGCAUGGUGCAAACGCAUCAGCGGAGCCAACUGCUACUGAUCCUGCCUACUUUUGCCGCAGCUUAUAGCCACCACCCAACCCCCAGACUGAAAAAGAUAUUUUACAUCAGUAUGCAGUGGUGGCAAGAAACUGUGAUGUGGAAAGUGUCUGGAUCUUUAAGUUUUAUCUCACAUUAUUUGGCAUUGCUUGCCUAUCUGCUUUGAGAUACGUCUGUUACAACAGCCAACUAUGUAACAGGUGAAUGGUUACUAUCUACACAGGAAAAAACCCACUGUGUUGUGGUUGCACAUUGAGCAGAUUCAAGGCAGUUUACAACUGGGGCUGUUUAUAGUGGAUUCUGCUGCCUUUGUUUGUUGGCUGUCAGGACUGUAGCAAAACGCCUUCCACAAUCCUGGGAAAGGUAGUUUGUUAUGGGUGCUGGAAAUUCUAACUCUGUGAGAAGCAAACUAUAGUUCCCAGGAUUAUUUGGUAGAAACAAUUUGCUUUAAAUGGGAUGUGACAAUCAACAGCCUCUUAUUCUUGGCCCUUUCUUUGUCAAGGAGGGUUACUCAAUGCAUGCUCCAAUUUCAGACCGAGUUUUCCAGUCCCAGUGGAACCGGAACAUGGGUGGAAUAGCACAAUGACAUCACCUGCAGAGUAACUCUAGAUGUGACAGGGAAAGGGGAAGGUGGAGACAUGAGGCUGAUGCUAGGUGAUUGCUCCCCAUCUGCCAAAACAUCUGGCUCCACGUUGGUUCCCAUAUAACGAAGGAGCUGUUGGGUGCAAUCUUUUUCUUCCUUUUCUUUUUGUAGUAGAACAAUUGUUUCAGGGCCUGUGCAUCCGUGAAGUGGUAUAGGUGAAUAUAAAAGAGGGGAGAUUCAGCUUCUUCUUCUUCUUUAUCAUCUUUAUUAAUUUAAAAUACAAUUUAAAAUACAAUCAUACAAUAAAGGUAAGUACAACAGAGUUAAGCACAAAAAGAAAAAAAAGAAAAAAGAAAAGAAGGACAAAAAAGAAUUUAACAGUAGCAAGAAAAUGUCAAUUGAAAAAGAAAACCAAAUAUUUAUACAACAUCAUGUCUGAUCCAAUAAAGUCUUCUAUGAAAAACUUCCAAUCGUUUUCAUUAUACUUUUUCUAUUGUCUUGAUUUU